Dipodomys ordii (Ord's kangaroo rat) is the source of this 112-nucleotide unclassified non-coding RNA. Ensembl annotates it as predicted gene, 22842. NCBI's taxonomy places the organism in Eukaryota, Metazoa, Chordata, Mammalia, Rodentia, Heteromyidae. The record is from Ensembl.
CGAAGUGGAGGAGAAAUUACAGCCAUUUACCAGCUGACAUUAUAGGUGUAGACACAUGUCCGCAGUGGCAACAUUUCCAUCAAAAUUAUUUAGAGAUUUUCCUUGAAUUUCA